AUGUUUGCUGAUCAUGUUUUCUUGUUUGGCGGCCGGGGAAUUCAGGUUGUGCUGAAGCUGGACGUGCACGACGACAGGCAGAAGCAGAAGGCGAUGCAGGUCGUCUCCACCCUCCAAGGCAUCGACCAUAUCGCCGUGGACAUGAAGGACCAGAAGAUGACGGUCAUCGGCACCGUCGACCCCGUCGUCCUCGUCGAAAGGCUGCGCAGCAAGUUCCCCAUGGCACAGAUGAUCUCCGUCGGCCCGGCCAAGGAGGAGAAGAAGGACGGCGCCAAGAAGGAAGGCGACAAGAAGGAGGGCGACAAGAAGGCGCCUCCGUUCUGGUACCCGCCGCCGCCGUACCACCCGCACCCGUACCACCACGCCUGCAGCGCCGACGAGGACCCCAACUCGUGCAUCAUCUCCUAG
Molecule: ribosomal RNA, 408 nt
Filed under: Triticum aestivum (bread wheat)
Lineage: Eukaryota; Viridiplantae; Streptophyta; Magnoliopsida; Poales; Poaceae
Description: partial small subunit ribosomal RNA
Source: RNAcentral